AACAAACGCUGGCGGCGUGCCUAAUACAUGCAAGUCGAACGGGGAAAGUAGCAAUAUGAGUACUAGUGGCGCCCGGGUGAGUAACGCGUGGAUAAUCUGCCUUGAAGAGGGGGAUAACUAGUCGAAAGAUUAGCUAAUACCGCAUAAGACCACAAGAACUGAGGUUCAAGGGGUCAAAGGUUUUUCGCUUCAAGAUGAGUCCGCGUAAGAUUAGCUAGUUGGUGAGGUAAUGGCUCACCAAGGCAACGAUCUUUAACUGGUCUGAGAGGAUGAUCAGUCACACUGGAACUGAGACACGGUCCAGACUCCUACGGGAGGCAGCAGUAGGGAAUAUUGCACAAUGGAGGAAACUCUGAUGCAGCGACGCCGCGUGAGUGAUGAAGGCCUUCGGGUCGUAAAGCUCUGUCGCAGGGGAAUAACACAAUGAAUGUACCCUGUAAGAAAGGAUCGGCUAACUUCGUG
Molecule: ribosomal RNA, 462 nt
Filed under: uncultured bacterium
Lineage: Bacteria
Description: partial 16S ribosomal RNA
Rfam family: Bacterial small subunit ribosomal RNA
Source: RNAcentral